UGGGUUGCCUGUGUUCGACAGCAUAUCCGAUUGGUACUGUUGAUGAGUAUUGUGGUUGCUACCUAUUCAAAAGGUGUGUGUGCUCCUGACGAAGAGGUUUUUGCUAUUGAGUAGGUGCGACCUUCUCAAGUUUGGACGUGUUAUGACCGACGAGUUAAGGGCAGAUAUUACUGAAGUGAAGCUUGAUCUGAUAGAGUCCACACCGUUCAGGGAUUUGUUUAGAGCUUUUUAUGAGCGGCAAAUAAUAGACUCUGCUUGUAGGUAGUCUAAUAGUGACAUCGUUUCUCUUUUAAAAUGCUUUGACAAGGAAAAAAACUCGUUUCAGUUUGGGGAAAUUACUGGUACCAUAUCUGUAGGUGACAUUCCAGAACUGUUUGGUUUGAAUAUUGAAGGUCGUGAGAUCAACCUUAACCAGAAGAAGAGAAAAGGGGAUUCUGAUUUCAUUAAAAGACGAUUCCCUGGAGUGAAAAGGUUGUCCAAGGUGAUCCUGGAGCAACUAAUCAAAGAUGUAUCUAAACUGAGGGGGCUUGAGAAUGAAUGUGAUUUUGUUAGCAUGGUGAAAUCUCAAAACGCUUGGCAUUUUUGAAAGAUAAGGGUAAAUCAAUUAUUAAGAGCAAGAUGAUAUGGAAACAUGUGAAAAGAGAAGGUCAAGUGAGUCUAUUUACGUUCAAUGUAUCAAACAAAGACAGGGACUUGCUUACCUGGUUGGGAAGGAAUAAUGUUCAUCAUUUCCCUAUUAUUUCAAGCAAGGAAUGUCCUAAACAAGAUCCUUCCAGUGUGGACAACGGGAUUGCUGUGACGUACAUUAUCAAGCGAUUAUCGGAAGGUCUUGAAUUAGAGUCUACCUUUAAAAAAGGUGCCAUGACUCAGCAGAGAGCACAUGUUUUGGGAAGGUUCUUAAGUGACAACAAUGACGGUUAGGCUCAUCUUUGUGAAAGGAGUUUGGGAGGGACAGGAAUGCCAUUUGGAAGGCCUUUCAUCAGUUUUUAUGUCUUUUCUGGAAUGGUAAUGAUUGUGGAUGCUUAAAGUGAUCGUAUAUGUAUUUUUUGUAAUGUUUGAGAAUUUGUAUGAUUAAAGUGUGUUUCUUAAAACACGAUGGAUCGUGUGGAAAUCAUUUUAUUUCUGAAUAAGUUUUUUUUAUGCACAAUUAAACAGGGU
Rosa rugosa (rugosa rose) is the source of this 1158-nucleotide RNA transcript. RefSeq lists it as uncharacterized. Lineage: Eukaryota; Viridiplantae; Streptophyta; Magnoliopsida; Rosales; Rosaceae. The transcript is spliced from 4 exons. The record is from RefSeq and is a predicted model, not a curated record.